This is a non-coding RNA of Oncorhynchus mykiss (rainbow trout), 4596 nucleotides long. The record is from RefSeq and is a predicted model, not a curated record. NCBI's taxonomy places the organism in Eukaryota, Metazoa, Chordata, Actinopteri, Salmoniformes, Salmonidae.
GACGUCACCUUCAGUUCUCUCAAAUGCAUCUCAUCUUGAAUGUUGUUGUUGACGUUGAUUUAGUUCUCUCCUGUAUUCCUCCUUCUAUGUCAUGAAAUAACAAACCAGUACAAAUAGACUCACCAUCAUGAUGGAAAUUAUAAUGUUAUAUUAUGGGUUUUCAGACAGCAUCUGUCCAGAGGAGAUAUGUUUGUGUGUUGGUAUAUGUGAGCUAUUUUCUCUGGUGUCUGGUACUGAUGGGCUACCCGUUACUGGUAAAGAGGACAACAUUCUGUGAUUCCCAGUAAAUGGUCUGUGUUGGCCAACUACCAAGUCUGUAAUGGAAUCCUGCCGACAGGUGCACCCAUCCCAAUCCCGUAACGUUUUCCCAUUACGGCCGCUGGAAAAGCCAUCCACACCGGCACAGGGGUUGUUGUCAUGUGGGAUAUAAGUUUGGCUAGUUUGAGAGAGAGGCACUAGCUAUGUCAAGGGGUGGGGUGGGGGGUUAAGCUGUGGCUGGGCCAGAGUUAUGAGAGCAGAUUUGUUGUGUUGGUCCUGUUUCAUUUGGUGUAACAGCAGGUGUUGGAUAGAGGCCAGGAGUAUGAGGUGGAGGCAGGGAACAGAAAUAUCAGCAGGUGUUGGAUAGAGGCCAGGAGUAUGAGGUGGAGGCAGGGAACAGAAAUAUUAGCAGGUGUUGGAUAGAGGCCAGGAGUAUGAGGUGGAGGCAGGGAACAGAAAUAUCAGCAUGUGUUGGAUAGAGGCCAGGAGUAUGAGGUGGAGGCAGGGAACAGAAAUAUCAGCAUGUGUUGGAUAGAGGCCAGGAGUAUGAGGUGGAGGCAGGGAACAGAAAUAUCAGCAUGUGUUGGAUAGAGGCCAGGAGUAUGAGGUGGAGGCAGGGAACAGAAAUAUCAGCAGGUGUUGGAUAGAGGCCAGGAGUAUGAGGUGGAGGCAGGGAACAGAAAUAUCAGCAUGUGUUGGAUAGAGGCCAGGAGUAUGAGGUGGAGGCAGGGAACAGAAAUAUCAGCAUGUUUUGGAUAGAGGCCAGGAGUAUGAAGUGGAGGCAGGGAACAGAAAUAUCAGCAGGUGUUGGAUAGAGGCCAGGAGUAUGAGGUGGAGGCAGGGAACAGAAAUAUCAGCAGGUGUUGGAUAGAGGACAGGAGUAUGAGGUGGAGGCAGGGAACAGAAAUAUCAGCAUGUGUUGGAUAGAGGCCAGGAGUAUGAGGUGGAGGCAGGGAACAGAAAUGUCAGCAUGUGUUGGAUAGAGGCCAGGUGUAUGAGGUGGAGGCAGGGAACAGAAAUAUCAGCAUGUGUUGGAUAGAGGCCAGGAGUAUGAGGUGGAGGCAGGGAACAGAAAUAUCAGCAUGUGUUGGAUAGAGGCCAGGAGUAUGAGGUGGAGGCAGGGAACAGAAAUAUCAGCAUGUGUUGGAUAGAGGCCAGGAGUAUGAGGUGGAGGCAGGGAACAGAAAUAUCAGCAUGUGUUGGAUAGAGGCCAGGAGUAUGAGGUGGAGGCAGGGAACAAAAAUAUCAGCAUGUGUUGGAUAGAGGCCAGGAGUAUGAGGUGGAGGCAGGGAACAGAAAUAUCAGCAGGUGUUGGAUAGAGGCCAGGAGUAUGAGGUGGAGGCAGGGAACAGAAAUAUCAGCAGGUGUUGGAUAGAGGCCAGGAGUAUGAGGUGGAGGCAGGGAACAGAAAUAUCAGCAGGUGUUGGAUAGAGGCCAGGAGUAUGAGGUGGAGGCAGGGAACAGAAAUAUCAGCAGGUGUUGGAUAGAGGCCAGGAGUAUGAGGUGGAGACAGGGAACAGAAAUAUCAGCAGGUGUUGGAUAGAGGCCAGGAGUAUGAGGUGGAGGCAGGGAACAGAAAUAUCAGCAGGUGUUGGAUAGAGGCCAGGAGUAUGAGGUGGAGGCAGGGAACAGAAAUAUCAGCAGGUGUUGGAUAGAGGCCAGGAGUAUGAGGUGGAGGCAGGGAACAGAAAUAUCAGCAGGUGUUGGAUAGAGGCCAGGAGUAUGAGGUGGAGACAGGGAACUGAAAUAUCAGCAGGUGUUGGAUAGAGGCCAGGAGUAUGAGGUGGAGGCAGGGAACAGAAAUAUCAGCAGGUGUUGGAUAGAGGCCAGGAGUAUGAGGUGGAGGCAGGGAACAGAAAUAUCAGCAGGUGUUGGAUAGAGGCCAGGAGUAUGAGGUGGAGGCAGGGAACAGAAAUAUCAGCAGGUGUUGGAUAGAGGCCAGGAGUAUGAGGUGGAGGCAGGGGACUGAAAUAUCAGCAGGUGUUGGAUAGAGGACAGGAGUAUGAGGUGGAGGCAGGGAACAGAAAUAUCAGCAUGUGUUGGAUAGAGGCCAGGAGUAUGAGGUGGAGGCAGGGAACAGAAAUGUCAGCAUGUGUUGGAUAGAGGCCAGGUGUAUGAGGUGGAGGCAGGGAACAGAAAUAUCAGCAUGUGUUGGAUAGAGGCCAGGAGUAUGAGGUGGAGGCAGGGAACAGAAAUAUCAGCAUGUGUUGGAUAGAGGCCAGGAGUAUGAGGUGGAGGCAGGGAACAGAAAUAUCAGCAUGUGUUGGAUAGAGGCCAGGAGUAUGAGGUGGAGGCAGGGAACAGAAAUAUCAGCAUGUGUUGGAUAGAGGCCAGGAGUAUGAGGUGGAGGCAGGGAACAAAAAUAUCAGCAUGUGUUGGAUAGAGGCCAGGAGUAUGAGGUGGAGGCAGGGAACAGAAAUAUCAGCAGGUGUUGGAUAGAGGCCAGGAGUAUGAGGUGGAGGCAGGGAACAGAAAUAUCAGCAGGUGUUGGAUAGAGGCCAGGAGUAUGAGGUGGAGGCAGGGAACAGAAAUAUCAGCAGGUGUUGGAUAGAGGCCAGGAGUAUGAGGUGGAGGCAGGGAACAGAAAUAUCAGCAGGUGUUGGAUAGAGGCCAGGAGUAUGAGGUGGAGACAGGGAACAGAAAUAUCAGCAGGUGUUGGAUAGAGGCCAGGAGUAUGAGGUGGAGGCAGGGAACAGAAAUAUCAGCAGGUGUUGGAUAGAGGCCAGGAGUAUGAGGUGGAGGCAGGGAACAGAAAUAUCAGCAGGUGUUGGAUAGAGGCCAGGAGUAUGAGGUGGAGGCAGGGAACAGAAAUAUCAGCAGGUGUUGGAUAGAGGCCAGGAGUAUGAGGUGGAGACAGGGAACUGAAAUAUCAGCAGGUGUUGGAUAGAGGCCAGGAGUAUGAGGUGGAGGCAGGGAACAGAAAUAUCAGCAGGUGUUGGAUAGAGGCCAGGAGUAUGAGGUGGAGGCAGGGAACAGAAAUAUCAGCAGGUGUUGGAUAGAGGCCAGGAGUAUGAGGUGGAGGCAGGGAACAGAAAUAUCAGCAGGUGUUGGAUAGAGGCCAGGAGUAUGAGGUGGAGGCAGGGGACUGAAAUAUCAGCAGGUGUUGGAUAGAGGCCAGGAGUAUGAGGUGGAGGCAGGGAACAGAAAUAUCAGCAUGUGUUGGAUAGAGGCCAGGAGUAUGAGGUGGAGGCAGGGAACAGAAAUAUCAGCAGGUGUUGGAUAGAGGCCAGGAGUAUGAGGUGGAGGCAGGGAACAGAAAUAUCAGCAUGUGUUGGAUAGAGGCCAGGAGUAUGAGGUGGAGGCAGGGAACAGAAAUAUCAGCAGGUGUUGGAUAGAGGCCAGGAGUAUGAGGUGGAGGCAGGGAACAGAAAUAUCAGCAGGUGUUGGAUAGAGGCCAGGGGUAUGAGGUGGAGGCAGGGAACAGAAAUAUCAGCAGGUGUUGGAUAGAGGCCAGGAGUAUGAGGUGGAGGCAGGGAACAGAAAUAUCAGCAUGUGUUGGAUAGAGGCCAGGAGUAUGAGGUGGAGGCAGGGAACAGAAAUAUCAGCAGGUGUUGGAUAGAGGCCAGGAGUAUGAGGUGGAGGCAGGGAACAGAAAUAUCAGCAUGUGUUGGAUAGAGGCCAGGAGUAUGAGGUGGAGGCAGGGAACAGAAAUAUCAGCAGGUGUUGGAUAGAGGCCAGGAGUAUGAGGUGGAGGCAGGGAACAGAAAUAUCAGCAUGUGUUGGAUAGAGGCCAGGAGUAUGAGGUGGAGGCAGGGAACAGAAAUAUCAGCAGGUGUUGGAUAGAGGCCAGGAGUAUGAGGUGGAGACAGGGAACAGAAAUAUCAGCAUGUGUUGGAUAGAGGCCAGGAGUAUGAGGUGGAGGCAGGGAACAAAAAUAUCAGCAGCGACUGAAAACAUUAGUAUUGCUUUUUUUGAUGGAGGGAAUUUUGUGUCAAUCACCUGGAACUCUCUUGCUUUGAAGACCUGAGAGGAUUUUCAUUCACAACAAAUAGUUCCCAAACUUUUCAUUUGUGAAACAUAUUUUGGAAGUCUUCACCAUAUACUCACAAUGACAUACAAACUAUAAGUGGCACGCCUGCUCCCACUACCCCUCCACCAGGCUACCCGUCAUAAUACUCACCUGUUAACAUCAUUACGCGCAGCUGCGCUCAUUGGACUCACCUGGACUCCCUCACUGUGUUGAUUACCCCUGUGUAUAUGUCUGCUCCUCUGUGUUGUUCCCUGUAGUAGUAUUGUUUGUCGUGUCGUCUUUAUGUCCAGACGCAGUUCCUGUUCUGUUGCAUGUCUGUCUAUAUUAAAUGGAUCACUCCAUGUACCUGCUUCUCAUCUCCUGUGCUG